GCAUGACGCACACACCCGUACCGUAUCCAAAACCAACGCACUUUCUAUCAUCACAUGAGAGAUAAAAUGUUUUCAAGUAGAAUGAUAUUUGCUAUAUGGUAAAUCUUUUAUAUUUUGCAAACUGCGAAGGAAAUUAAAUAUUUUUUGUAUCUCGUAUUGUGUGGGUGAGGAAUUUGCAAAUGGGAAAUGCGUGUAUUUUACAUCACACUCGGGUAAAACAAUUAAUUUCAUUUAAUCUUGAAACCAACCUGCCGAGCCCAACCUUUACUAACUUCCUUUCUCGUGUGGAUAUAAAGUAAACAUCUGGCCUUAGUAUUUUUGUCUGACUUGUAUUAUUUUUUUCGUUACGACACACAGAACUCGCGUCUUAAGACUAUACUAAAUAAGUUUCCAUCUUCUCACAUCAUGUCAAACAAUAGUUUCCCUUUUAUAAUAAGAAGCAUGUUCUAUUUGCCAAGAAAGCCAUAUGGAAUUUCCUGUCUUAAAUAAAGUGCAUCUGUGAUGUGUCUUCAUGUUGUCUGUGGUUGGUUGGUGGAGGUAGAUGGGUAAAUAUAGCUCGACAUGGCUCGUGUUUAAUGUAAUAAUUGUCUUAAGUAAAACGGAUUCAUCAUCAUGAAUGAUUCUAAGAAGUUAAAACCUUCACUUAUCUAAGUUAGUGAAAUUCAGUCUCUUUUACUUUUUACGUGAUCCAGUUAACAAACUAAUUGUUUUUUCUUAGCAAGUUUGUACAAAAACGAAACCUUUGAUUGAUCUCAUCCCAUCCCUAAAUUAACAUGCACUUCCGUUCCGUGAAAUAUGUAUAUCUUACCAACACGCAUCGUGUUACGAAGUGUAUGCAUAUGUUUUGCAGGAAAUGACGAGAUGAUUGAUUCAACAUUCGGAUUGGAAUUUGCGUUGUGGAAAUACCGAUAACUUGCAUUGACGAGUUACAUAAUGUGAAGUACUAUAUCUUUCCGCAAUUUCGUGACCCCCAUCAACCCGGUCCUGUAAUGUCAAGAAGAGAACAUUUUAAGACAAUUGCUAGUCAACUCUACAAUUAGUACUGAACUGAAUUUAUAAAUCGUUAUACAAUUACACAUUUAAAACACCAGACACAAUAAGUAUUAGUCAUAAAAUAAACUCUAAUGAACUUUACUCGAAAUAAUGGUACUCCAAAAUCUAUACAUUUCAUUUACGAUUAAGAAUUGGUGCCAUUGACUAUAAUUGCAUUACAAUUGCAUCGUUCUAAAAAAUACAAACAUCUCAUUGUG
Long non-coding RNA from Folsomia candida, 1250 nucleotides. RefSeq lists it as uncharacterized. The record is from RefSeq and is a predicted model, not a curated record. NCBI's taxonomy places the organism in Eukaryota, Metazoa, Arthropoda, Collembola, Entomobryomorpha, Isotomidae. The transcript has 3 exons.